UACAUACAUAAGAUCUGAUCUUAAAACUCCUACAAAUAGAUUUAUAACAUGAAUUUAUAUGCAUAAACAUCUGAAUCUAAUAUUAUAUGCGUUUGAACAAGAACAAUAAUUAGUGAUAGUUCUAAUCUAGCACUUCUAGGAUUCCAAACCCAAUACCUGAGCAUGGAUAGUUGAUCUCCAUAAUUGAGAAUAUAGAUCUAGAUAUUGUCUCUGAUCGUUUAUAGUCACACAAGCGUUCAACCUCUACAGAUGAUCCACACGAAGUUCUCAGACUGAUUAGCCCUCCACGGGAGUGCUAGCUCGCGCAGUCAGCUUCUGAUGGC
RNAcentral lists this long non-coding RNA (323 nucleotides) under Elaeis guineensis (African oil palm). RNAcentral's name for it is "long non-coding RNA (EGUI_LNC068063)". Lineage: Eukaryota; Viridiplantae; Streptophyta; Magnoliopsida; Arecales; Arecaceae. The record is from RNAcentral.